Rattus norvegicus (Norway rat) is the source of this 12796-nucleotide non-coding RNA. The record is from RefSeq and is a predicted model, not a curated record. Lineage: Eukaryota; Metazoa; Chordata; Mammalia; Rodentia; Muridae.
UCCAGACCAGUUCAGUGAGGACCAGAGUCUCUGCGCCUGGAGUCUUCAAGGCUGAAGGAGUACAGUAGAGCAUCCUCACUUGCUCCCCCCUUCUGAGCUGGCAGGACGCUGAGAUUCUGCGUUCACCUUCCGGUAGCAACCGGAAUCAAUUCCGGUGGAAAUCAAUUCUCUGCCAUUUCUCUUCCUGGCAGCUCUGAAGCCAAAUACGGACAUGGUUUUAGAACUCUGAGAUGAGGUCCGGUGGUGGAACAAGGCUAUGCACUGAGAAUAUGUCCGGGAAAACUGAAAUCCCGUCCAGUAAGUCUGUGUUCUCUCGACACCGAGGCGGCGGGAUCCGGUCCUGUUACACCUUACCAGAGGUAGUGCCCACCCCCAAGAUGAAGACUGAAUGGGACUCUGUGUUGAUAAAUACAUACAAAAUACCUGCAAUAGGGCACAGAGCCCGUAGACCUACCUAGAAUCAGGGAAAUCACAACACGAACCAUGUGAGAUAAUCAGUGGUUGCUCCCAAUGAAAGAAAGCCAAUGGCGAACUCUCUCGAAAGACUAAAGACGUUAUCGCGAGCAUGUGUCAACAGUGAUUUUAAGUCCUCUUAAGCUUUUGGAAAUAUAUCUCAGUUAAAAACUUAGAAGUUAUAAAAUAAAAAGAAAUUCAAGGAAGUUCUCAGAGUUCAAAGCAUAGCAACUGGGAAGAAAGGGGAACCCGACCCCAGCCUGGUUUCCUAUAGAGAGGAGCAGACUCAGCUCGAAAGAAGCCGAGAGCCCAGGAGACUGCCCGCUAUUGGAAGAAGACUAAAAAUGUAAUGUGGUUUAAAAUGUCUCCUAGAACAUCAGAGAGGCCAGCGGUCAUUAGAACCACAAACAAAAUCAAGGCAAUAGGAUGCGAAGAGUGCAUUUAAUUAGAUAUUUGUGAGGAGAGACACCGAGAAAACCUUGAAAGCAGCCAGAGAGAAAUGACAGGUGACCUUCAGGGCAAUAGAUCAUGAAUGAUACCCAAGUUCUCAUUCGGAACCGCAUGGGAAGUUGCCCGGUUUUUCAAGCUGAGAAAUGGAAAGAAAUGGUUAACUUUGUAACUAUAGAUCUAGUAGAACUAUCCCCAGUAAUAAAGAACGAGUGAAAGCAUCCCCAACCACAGGGAGAUAGGGAAUGCACUUACUGUUAAAAACUCCCCCAAAAGUGGCCCUCAAGGCUAUCUCAGCAGAGAGUCUGGGUCCCAGAAGAGAAGGAGGAGCCUAAGAAUGGCGGAGAAUAGAGAGAUGUGAUCCUCUAUUUUGACUAUUCGCUUAGCUCACACGUGGCAGUCAAAGCAAACUUACACACCAUCUGCUAUGGUGUUUAGUGUUUACAGAGAAAAUCUUAAAAAUAAUUACACUUUAAAGUGGGGGAAGGUAUACGGAGCUGAAGGAAAAUAGGGUUUUACCUUUGCCCCAUAUGACGAGGCACCAACCGGUGACUAUAGUCAGGUCCUUACACAUACAGUAAUGCCUACAGCAGUCACUAAAGAAGGCAUAAAGGCGAUAUAUUCAAAAUGCUGCACGUAGAUCAAAAAAUAGGUGUGGGGGAUAUAUUUAAGGAACUUAGGAAGGCGGGAAAGAGAAACACGAGGAAGGAAUUUGGAGGACAAAACUGGACAAAUCAUAAAAUGAAGAAUUAAACUCCAACUUUCAAAAUUACCACAAACACAAUGGGUUCCUACCUGAACGUCCCGCCUUUACACGUGCGACUUAAAAACACUAUCUGUGAGAUCUGCAGUCUUCAGGUAAGUAUCUGGGAGUAUAUGCUCUCACGCUGAGCUCAGACCUUUGGGGUUGAGUCUUGUACAGGACAGAGAUGCAGAUUUAAUGUCAUUUCUCUACACACUGACAGCCAGAUUCUCCAGAACCAUUUGUGGAUGACAUUGUCUUUUCUUUAAUGUAUAUUUUUUGGCACUGUAGUCAAACAUCAGGCACUGUCAUUGUGUGGACUUACAUCUUUAACUCUUCAUGCUGCUGUUGUUUACUACGGCUCUGGUGGUAUAACAUGACAUCGGAAAUGCUCACACCUCCCAUUGUCUUCCUUUUGGCUAGGACUGCUUUUCUCUCUUUGGGCUUUUCAAUUCCACAUACAUUUAUUUAUUUUUAAUUCUCUGUAUGUGAAGAAUGCCUGUGGAAUGCUCGUGUUAAACCUCUGCAGAUUGUUUGGUAAUUAAGUCUCGCCGUUCAUGAAUUCUCCCAGGUGAUGGGAGCAGAGGACUGGCCAUCUUCGGGCAUCUUUGUCAAUUGUUUCAGUGUCUUUGAGUUCUCAUUGUGAAGGUCUGCGCUGCUUCCGCUUCCUGGUCAACGUUAUACAAACCACCUGGGAAGAGGGAACUUCAAUUGAGGGAUUGUUUCCAUCGGAUUGUCUGUGGGGCAUUUUCUUUGUCUACCACUGAUGUGGGAGGGUCCAUCUCUUUGUUAGUAGAGCCACUUGUGGGCAAGUGGUCCUGGGGUAUACAGGCCGAGGAAGCCAGGGAGAGCAAGCUUUGGAAGCAGUGUUUCCCUAUGGCAUCUGCUUCAGUUCCUGCCUGGACUUCCUGCCCUUUCCUCAAUGAUGGGCUAUGAUUGGAACAUGCAAGCCCUUAAUCCCUUUCCUCCCUUAAGUGCUUUUGCUGUUGAGUCUAUGACGGCAACAAAAAGCCUAAGUUGGACAAGGUCUUUCAUGUCCUUGUGCAAGGUCUAUUCUUAAGUACUUCAUCUGUGUGCAGCAGUCAUGAAUGGAACUGGGUCCCUGAUUUCCAUUUCAGAGUGUUGGACACCGACACGUAGGAAGACUCCUGAUUUGUGCUGUUGAUUUUCACCCUGCUCCUUCGCUGAAGGUGUUGAACAGCUGUAAGAGCUUCUGGUGGAGUCUUCUUCAGGGAUUGCUUAUGCAAAGAAUCACACCAUGUGUAAGCAGGGGCACUUUGACUUCCUUCCCAGUUAUAUCCCCUUUAUUCUCUUCUCCAACCUUGGAACUGUGUUCGUUCUUGACAAAAAUCUCUCUGCAAACCGAAAGUAAAUCGGGGCUCUCUCAAUUAAAAGCAUCUACGAAAACCGAUAGCCAACAUCUUUAAACGUUUAAAAAGCUCAAUACCUCAGCUCCAAGGCAAAGUUGUCAUCUCUUACCACGCUCCAGCCAAGUCCUAAAACUUUGGCCACCAUUUAUGGUAAGAGAAGCCAGUUAUAUAACGAUAGGAAAGGAAGAAGUAGAGGCAUCCCAUCAGCAGUUGAUAGGAUUCCUCAUGUUGAAAAUAUAUCAGAACCUAACGUUAAUGCACAACCACAAGUGAGCCAGAAAUGGGACAUUAACUUAAGGUAAGCACCGCUUACAACCCAGCCUAAAUCACAGACUCAGGCAGGCAAACAACACAAUGUCUACAUGGCAUGUACACUUAAGAUCACAACAAAAUAAUUAAGGGACAUAAAUAAGCUGGCUGCGGUGGCACACACCUUUUGUUCCAGUACUCAAAAGCAGAUCUCUGAGUUUAGGAUCAGCCUGGUCUACAGAGUGAGUUCCAGGACAGCCAGGGGUAUAAAGGGAAACAUUGUUUCAAAUGAGAAAGAAACAAACAGACAAAGACACAAACAAUUAAAAUAGCUUACUGUGUUCACAGAUUGGAUGAUCCAGCACACUGGACCCUAUCCCCCUGGUAAUCACAAAGUCUAAUGUAUCACUUUUAUGAAGAGACUUGGGUGACAGGAGACCUAAGUAACCUUGAGAGCCAAAAUCAUAUGCUAAGCAUAGUGAAGUGGAAAUUUCUGGUUGUGUCAUGUGAUGCAGACUCACAUGAUGUUUUGCUGAAGCAAGACACAAGAGAGGAUACGUGAUGUUUGGAGAGUCUAAGUAGGACCCAACAGAUGGAUGGAGCGCUUGCAUUGCUAGACAUAGGAUGCUUCGUGGGUCUCCUGUCUUUGCUGAUCUCCAUUUAGUUGAGAGGUUUUUCAGCUGGUUCUGGUGGUUCUGGCCACGCCCACUGACUCCUGAAUAUUCAGUGGAGGCCAUGGUUGUUUCUGUUGGAUCGUGCCACUGCUGCUGACUCAUGUUUGGUGACACACUUUGAAUUGGACUGUUGGUAUCCUGACACUACUGAACUGCGGUCUCCUGACAUUGGAGAUUGGGAGUCACCCCCAAAAAACUACCUCUCAACAGGUGCAAAUCCCCCUGUCCUGUUUACCAUCUUUUCUCCCCUACCUUUGGAUGGUGGGCUGCAAGAGAGCAAAGUGUUUGAGGACCCUUAUUAAUAGUAGGUUUUGAAAAAUCUAAGCCCACAGCAUAGUUCUUACCAAAUUAAUUCCAAGCACAAUGCUCUAGUAACUAAAUACUUUCCCACGAGCUAGAGGGAUAUUAAAAUUAGUGGAAUGGGGGACCACGAAACAGAGCCACACAAAUACCCACAGCUGGAUUUUAGCAAAAGCAGCGACGUGGGAUGGGUGUGUGUGUGUAAAUGGUGCUAGAUCAGUGGAACAAUGUGGACACGCACACACACACAUACACACACACACACACACACACACACACACACACACACCCAGAGGUGUCAGCUCUAUAUGAAGGUAGAUUACAGGUGGCCAUGGGCAUGCAUGCCUGAAGUUUCUGCACUCACAAGCCAACAGCAGGAGCACAGUGUCUUUACAUCGUAUUAAGAAAUAUAAGUAGGGAGCUGGAGAUGGCCCAGUGGUUAAGAGCACUGACUGUUCUUCAGGAGGUCCUGUGUUCAAAUCCCAGCAACUACAUGGUGGCAACCACAUGAUCAUCUGUAAUGGGAUCUGAUGCCCUCUUCUGGUGUCUGAACACACUAUGGUAUUCUCACAUACAUAAGAUAAAUAAGUAAUUCUUUAAAAAAAUAUAAGUAAUAAAAAGAGAAUUUAAAGCAGAUGGAAGGAUAUUGUAGGUUAUAUGCAGACAGUAUGCAAUAUGCCAUUUCAUGUAAAAGGCUUGAGAUUUGUAUAUUUGUUAUUGGAUGUUGUCUCUCAUUAGAUCCUUUUAAGAGAAUUAAUUGGGAAUCCUGUGAUCAUGCAUGUGACUCGUAGAGGGUAACACAUCUACAGGUAGAAUAAAUGCGGGCAUGCCCUUUGGGAAACUGAGUCGGUUCAAAAUUCUAGCUAAAUUGGAGACAAAGAGAGGGAGAGAAAGAAGAUGGAGAGAGAAGAGGAGGGAGGGCAUUACUGUUUACAAAAUAGAACUAGAUUGACUUGAAAUUCAAAUCCUGAAGCAGUUCAGGUGAUGUGAAACUCCUCAGAGGAGAAAGAAAGAGCCAACCUCUCACUGGACAUGACAGAAGCCAGAUGGCAGUAGAAUGACAUCUUUGAGAUGACAAAACGUGGAACUGUGACUGGGAUCCUCCAUGGAGUGGAAAUGUCCUUCAGACAGAGCUGGAGAGGAGGACUGUGCAUACUGUCUCUAUAGAGCUCCAAGGAGUGUUUGGGGUGGUAGACACGGUAAGCAUUCCAAGCCGAUGAGAGCAGGCUAUAGAGACCCCAAUUCCCACCAUGCUCCACAAAGACACUCGAUUGUAACACAAAUCAAACGACAGACGUCGGAUGUUUGCAAGGAGACAAAGGUAAAAUUUGUUUUUCACGGGGGUUCAGCACAAGAUACACUAAAGGGAGCUUCUUUCGGGGAAGAGUAAAAUGUGCUCAGGGGCAAGGAAUAAAGAACAGGAAAAGAAAAUGUACACAAAUAUUAACUAAUCAAAACAAAGCAUAUCAUGUGGAAUUCUCAUGGAAUAAAUAAAAAUGUUAUAUAAAAAAGACAAAGAAGUAAUCCUUGAGUGAUGUAGUUACAAGUCAAAUGCAUGAUGGUCACAUUUUAAAGGAAUAAAAGGUGAUUUUUCAGGUAGUCAAAAUUAAUUCACACAAUUAAGUAAUAGCUGGUAAAGCUACAAAAAUGAUUAAUGUAAUUUAUGCUUCAUGUACAGGAUGACAAUUUAAACAAAAAGAGAGUAAAUUGCUCUAACAGCUUUAGAGGAGAAAACAGUUUUUUUUUAACCCAGAAAGAAGGAACAAUAUUCAAGAAUAAAUUAGUAGCUCUAAGUUGUAAUAGAUUUCCAACUACAACAAAUGAAAAUGGACUAAGUAAAACCUCAGGUUAUCAGAUGGAAUAAAAGCAUUCGUAUUCUGCCUGAAUGCAAAAAUACACAGGAGAUUAUAUUUAAACACAUAUUCAAUCACCAAUUAGAAGGGUGCACACUGAGCUCCACUAACCCCAGAUGAAGUGGGAUCAGGUCAAGAAACAUUCCUAAGCAUAUAGCAAAUUAUUUCCCAGCGAUAAACAUGUCCAUCUCCUUGGAAAAUCCAAGACUGUAAAUUGUCUAAGUGCCAGCAGGAAGGCAUCGGUGUGUGGAGGGAAGUCGAUUCUACAGAGACAGACAACCGGUGCUCCUGUAGCUUACAAAAUAGAAACAUAUAUAGCAAAAUUAAAAGACGCAACAAAACAAAACAGGAACGUCAGCCCACUGUCCGCUGGGACCCAGUUGCUGUGCACAGAAAACCGGGCAAGAAGCAAUAGGAUACAUUUUUGUUCUCAAGUUCAGUGGGAUUUCCACCAAAAUUUCCAAGAGGCGAAUAAAUACACAAAGUUCUAAAAACACGUGAUCCCGAGCUUCCGAUUCAAGAAAGUAGGCAAAGGGUAAGGAGGAAGCUGGAGGUGGGAAACAAGAAAACACAGAAGUCAAAGACGCAGCUGUAAUAAUAACGGAGCAGCGUAAAUGACAAGGACCCACGGUGAGAGCCAAGGAUGGUUCUCAGAGCGGUGACGAAGGCCCACAACCUGCCGGCGAUGGGGAAGAAAGAAAAAUAAAACGCAGUUAACACAUGUAAAGUGGCAUUGGUAUGUAUUCUGCAGAAGUAAAAAUGUUCUCGCGAGCACACUAACCACAAUCUUACUCCAAGAAAUGUGCAGAUUUGACUGCCAACGGACAAAUUCCUCAAGAAUCGCGGGUUGCCAAAUCUGACCCAAGAAGUAGAAAAAUCUAAAUCGAUUUUUAUUUCUUAGAUAAACCGAACACUUCCUUUCCAGAAAAACAACUUUGGGCCCAGAUGCUUCUACCAGUGAAUCUUCUCAAACAUUUAAGGAAGAAAUAAUGCGGACCUCGAUGAGAAAAGAUGUAGUGUGCCCAAGCUUUCUCGGAGGAGGGAGGCUGCAUUCUGAUGCCAGACCCUGGCAAGGAUCCUGUGAGAAAGAAUAUUACAUGCCAAUUUCCCUCAUGAACAUUGUAUAAAAAUCUUGAAACACUUGCAGAUCAAUUGAUGCGUGAGUGGUUUAAAGCUCAGAGAGCCUGGGUAACUCGCCACAUUAACAGAAGUGGAAGGCAUUGUAACAUUUAUUUGUUCAAAAGAAUGAAACACAAAGUCCAGCCAUGGAAAAACUCUGCCUGGCAAGCUAGAAGCGGAGGGGUGCUUUUUAAUCUGACAGAGGCUUCCUUGGCAUCUUAGAGUAAACACCAUAUUUAACAGUGAAAUAUGAAAGACUUCCCCCUUGAGACUCAGAUUGGAACAGAGACACUCUGAGCCUCUUAUUCAGUGAAGACUGGAUGUUUCACAGAAUGAGGUGGGGAGGAAAAUUAAAGGGUUAGAAAAGAAAAAAUACUCUCAUUACUUGAAGGGAUAGCUGUGUACAAAGAAGACUCAAAAGAAUUUGCACACAAUUAAAAUCCACAGUAGGAGUCAGCGAGGUGACUGGCUAUGGUGAUGGCUUAAAAAUCUAUGUUAUUUCAGUACCAGAAACAAAUAGGAUAUUAAACUAUGGCUUCUGGGUAUGCUUCAAAUUAAUACUUGUAGUUUGUGAGACAAAAUAAAAAAUGGUGAGAUAAAAAUUAUAAAAGCUGAUAUCGGAUGCAUUUCAGGGUGGCAGGAAGAUUGUCAGUGACUCAGGGAUACCAGGCCACACAGUGUCAGUCAACUGAUGGAUGCCAAACGCCCUCUUGAUGUUAAACAACCCUGACAGGACCAUGCCAAGGCAGUGAAGAGAGGGAAGCUGGUGUUGCGUUGUCUGAAUACCCCCGGAAUGAAACCGGAACCCAAGUCUGUAUGCAUCGGUGAUGGUUCUUCCCAACGAAGAUCUACAGGACCUUGAGCCCCCACGGCAGCCACAUCCGCAUUGUGGUUUCCACAGCAGCCACCGUGGACCAUACCUCAUCUCCUUCUGUGGACUUGCCCUGACCUCAGAGGAGCCUGCUGUGUUCUGUAUCAGCCCACGCGCAGUCCAGUAACUCAGAUUACAGGUCUCUGCCACCACGGUUGGCUUGGUGUGUUUAACGGACUUUUGGAUGUCCUUUGCCUGCUGAUUGGUCCAUGAUGUCACGCUGCAAACACUCUUGACCUUUAAACUCAAGACUGGUUCAUAUUCGUAACCAUGCAACCCUCCACAUGGGACGCCUCUGUCUUUGCUUCCGGUAUCAGUCACUUUUGUGUUGCUGCGAUUAAAACACCAUGGCAGCCCAAGGAAGAAAGAGUUUGUUUUGGCUAAUGUUUCCAGAGGAAUUCGAGUCCACAAGGGCGGAUCAGGAGAUAUGGCAGCAGGAACUUGAAAGUGAGUGCUCAUGGCUCCAACUGAAAGCAUGAAGCAGAGAGAGAGAGAGAGAGAGAGAGAGAGAGAGAGAGAGAGAGAGAGAGAGAGAAACUGGAAAAGGAGCCAGCCCUUAAACUCUAAAAGCCCACCUCCAGUGAAGACUUCCUCCAACAAGGCAGCAUUACCUAAAUCCCCCAACAGUGCCAAGGCCUCAAGUGUUCAAAUACAGGACUCUGGGGUUGGGGGGCUUUGCCAUUUGAGCCACUACAGCUCCCUAUUAUAAAGCAACUUAGCCUACACUAGAGACAAGUGUAUGAAAAUUGCCGAAGCUCUUUGGCACACGGAUGAGUCUUGGCGCUUCACUGUCAUGGACAAAUUAGAUAAAUGGGUACUAGAUUAGAUCUAGAGGCUAGAAUGGCUAUGGAGACUGGCAAGGCCCUGAAUGAUCAAAGGUCCUAACACAAAUUCUAGCCUGGCGGACCAAAGGUCACACAGAGAGGGACAGCCUAUUAUCCUAGUUAGCACCAGAGGAGUCUACCUGGAAAUGUAGUGUCCCAAAGAAGGACAGAGGCUAUGAAAGACCAUCCAGCUUCUAAUCACUCCUGAGUGACUCCCUCUUGGAUGCUCAGUAGUCGACACAUAGGUAUCCAGACUCAGCGAAUAUUAAUGUGCUCUGCCAGCAGGAUGUGGACCCACUGUUGAGCAUAAACAAGCCAGGAGACUGUUCAUGGUUCACCAUUUUGACAAAGUACUCGGGAAAAUCAAUGCCAAAAGAGAAAGGUUGCUUUUGGCUCAAGGCUUCAGGGGUUCUAGUCUACAAUCAAACCAACCACUGGUUUAGACUUCUGGCAGAGGUUCUAGGUGACAAAGCAAAGAAUGCAAGAACACACAGGAGGUCAACUGCGUUUACCUCAUGGCUAGGAAACCCGUAAGGAGCAAGUCUGUCACAGUCCUCUGGAAGGGGACAUCUCCAGUAACCGAAGGGCUUUCCGUAAAACCCCUCCUCCUGAUGAGCUCCACAGUGCUUGCCAAUAGCAUGCAUAUAUAUAUAUAUAUAUAUAUAUAUAUAUAUAUAUAUAUGCGCAUAUAUAUAUAUGAUCUCCUUCAACACAUGGGCCCUUGAAGGACACUCUGUAUGCAAAGUUGAAGAGGCUCAGAUGAGUGUGAUGUGUAGCUGGCUAACAGGGCUAGAAGCAGGGUCAGCAAAUCUCAGCCCAUUGGCCAGUCCUGCCCCUACUCGGUAUGAAUGAAGUGACCUGGCCCACGUGACACAGGCACACAGCCUCUGCGCUGUGCUCACUGUCUGCUGCUUGGCACUACAGUGGCAGAGUUGAAUCACAGCCACAGAGGCCAUGUGAUGCUACAGAGCCCCAGUCAUCAAUCCAGCCAUUGACAGAAGUUUGUCCACCCAAGCUCUAACUUGGAACACAGAUUUCUGCGAGCACGUUUUCGUCUACUUUGGUCACCUGGCUAUUCCCAGCAACUAUGACAGUCCCUGACGUGCAGCAAGGGCCCAACCGUCGUGUGUUAGCCAACGAAUGAAAUGACUGAGUAACGGAAGGAAUCCAAGACUGUUAAGAAUAUUCUUAUUUUUUAAUGUUCUUUCUGAAAAAAAAAAAAAACAAAAAACUAAACAGGAUUGUUGAUGAAGACGAGAGUUGGGUCACUUGAAACUUCAGAGAGAGCAAAGUUGACAUGGCAGAAACUGGGACUGUCUGGUGGACAGAGUGGGUUUGCACACACCCUGACUGCCUUACCUGCAGAAAAACGGCCUGUCUCUAUUUUGAGAAAUUAAGGCUAAUUUUAAAUGUGAGGAAUUGGCAAAGCACCCUGACAGUUUCCACUAAUGAAUUCCUGUGGUUAAUUACACUUAGAUUUCUUAACGCUUCUCCCUCUAGAGCCCUCCAUGCUAAUCUUGCUUGGAGGAUUCAAAGCCACACCUACUGAUGUCUUCCUCUAAAAAAAAAAGAAAAAGGAAGAAGCUCAGAGAUUGCUGUGCUCUCUUUGUGUUUCCCGUAUUGAGUCUUCCCGUUUUCACUGAUAACCGGACUGAAGGGACAAGAGCUCCAGCGGGUCAUCCUCUAGACCUUUGCAGGUUUUUCUGGGUGCAGCUUGGUGUUAAGUGACAUAACAGCCCAUCUGUAAGCGCACCAGUGCAUGGAGGCUCUGAGACUUGCAGGAGCAGAGCCGCAUGCCUCUGCGGACCCGCUCUGCUACGGGUGUGAACCCUCAGAAGCAUCCCUGUUGCAUGGGCGGGCCUGUGAGCCCUCGUGGCCCCUUUCCUAAAGUUUUCCUUUCUCAAGGAAGAAGAUACAUCAUCCUAUGACUGACAGACAUCAUCCUGUGACUGACAGAUAUCAUCCUGUGACUGGCAAAGCUUCCAAGUCUGAAAGUAGCCUCCCCUUGCCGUGCAGCUAGGGGGAAAGCUGACAGGAUGAAGCAGCUGUGGAGACUGAACAGCAGACAUUGCUAUCUUACUCUUCUGGGCCCUGUGAGAUCGGAAUACUGGCUCCCUUCAUGUCUGGGGUGGUCCAUCUCCCUAGUUUGCCUCUUCAACUUCUCCUUGUAUCCUCCGCUGGUGGGAUCAUAGCUUUUCUGCCCCCUACUAUAGUGUUAGUCUGAAACACCAAGCCCCUAACUCUCCUCUCAGACACACUCCCAAAACAUCCACUUUCAAAUACUGUCUUCUUGGACACUAGACGUCAACAUAUGAAUUCUAGUGGACACGUGUUCAGUCCACAGCACUUCCCCUUCCCCAUUGCCGUAUCGGCAAUUAUGAUUGGUGUACAUGCUUUCCAGGUUGUCUGGUAACAUGGGCAUACCGCUUCCUAUUGGCACACUCUGUGAAAUUUAAGGAAAGGUUCCAGGUGUUGCAACAAUCCUGUAGCCACCAUCCUCAUGAAGUCACCAGCCAGUGGACACUCUACUCCAUUCACAGCAUCAAGUGGGGUGGUGGGAAACAGACACCGUAGUUACCAGAAGCCGGUGAACGGUGUGGAGAAGAGAGGCACAAGAGAUCACAGAGGAGGUAAAAGUCAACACUGACCCUUUAACUCUCAGUACGAAUUGUCCCCAAGGCGAUGAAGUCUCAGCCCAUUCUGUGACAUGAAAGUGUGCAGCAUCUGUUAGUGGCUUGCCCCAAAUCAUCCACGAUGGUGGAGGCUCAAGGAGGCAGUGUACCCUUGUCCUCCUCCUUGAGCCUUUCUGUCUCCGACCUCCGCAUGCCCAUCUAUUAUAGACUGCUAUACACAUUGUAUAGACACAUCUUGGCUAUUCCAUGUCUAUGUACUCUAAGCCCUUAUCUGAGUGUUGUACUGCUUGCUGUAAGGCUCUUACCAAAGACUGAAAAGCAGGGUACAAGGGAGUCAACCUUUUGUGUGGUUACAGUAAUGCAAACACAGUUGCAUACAGCACAGGGCAUAAGAAAGUCUUGGAGUGCCUGGUGUAUAGUAGGUACUUAAUAAAUGGUUAUAUUUUUUAUUAUUAUGACACUGUCAAAAGUAAGUUCAUGUUCUAACCUUUUAAAAGUAGGAAUGUUAUCAACACUGUCCACUAUAAACCCUUCACUACCUCCAGAGUAGAUAAUCCAGUCUCCAGAGCCACAGGCCGAAUCCUCCUGUUCCGCCCUCCCAGUCAUUUAGGCUAUUUCCUACUUCCUUUAUUUUUUUCUUCCUUUUCUGUUGGGAGCACAAAGGCCCUUGCACCCACUGAUCUCCAGGGAGCCCAGGCAUGUUCAGCACCCAGGGUUGUCCUUUCACAGAGAAGGAGAUAUAACCUGGUUUUCUGAAAGGCUGGGAAUUGGCGGUGACUAAUAACUUGCUGACCCGCUUUACCUGUUGGGCCAGGCCAUAUCAAGCUCCUGCAACAAGAGCUGCAGGUGGCUGGUUAUCGAAAUGGCCCUUAGGUUAUUAAAUGACCCUUGGGUUCCUUGUACAGCCAGGAGCUCCCCCGGUCUUCCACAAUCAGGACCAGAGGUGGCUACUAGCCCAAAGGACCUCUCUGCUAUCUACAUAACUAAGAGACCAGGAUCCCUUUCAGUCCCUUAAGCUAGUGCAGGCAGCCUAUCUCUAGCCGCCAUCUUCUUGGAAGACAGGACAUGCUCCCUUCUUGUUGGGCUCUUACUUGUCUAGCGUUGCCUCUUUGCUCUCAUCGGGGAAGACUUCCAGGGGAUCAAACAGCAUCUCCGUUUCCUAGACGACUUUGCACAUGGCAGAUCAGAGCGGCGAAUCGCACCUAAGUUAUUGGUGAAAUAAACAGUACUUCUUACAAGAUUUGCCAAAAGGAAAUUAAAG